AUAAAAAAAUUCGCUUGCUCUCCCUCUCCCUCUCUCUCACCAUUGCCCACAAUGUAUUCUUUGUUUCUCUCUUUGCUCUCUGUCUAUUUCUCUUUCUCUUUGACAUUCACAUAAACACAUACCCUAGGCCACCAUUCAAAAUCACCACCACCAAAAAUGUCUCACACCAUGGUCGUGUCGCUCUGUUUCCCCACUGUGAGGUCGGCGGCGAACCGGCCAAAGCAGAGAGCAAACACGAAGAAGGCGCUAACACGAAACGAAACAGGAGCAGCAGCAGAGCAACAAUGGGUUUGGCGGAGAGAGGAAGGAUGUUCGGUUGUAGUGUGUGGAGCCGCCUACACUCUACCAUUACUAAUCCUCUCAAUCUCAGACCUCUUGCAUCAGAUAAACGCUCUCUCUCUCUCUCUCUCUCUCUCUCUCUCUCUCUCUCUAUAUAUAUAUAUAUAUAGUGUGUGUGUGUGUGUGCGCACGCUUGCGUGUUUGGUCUAUCCUUACCAAGUACAUAUAUAGUGUGUGCUUGAGUGUUUGGCCUCUCCUUACUAGGUAUUGAUGAACUCUAUAUCUAUAUAUAUAUAUACACACACACACGCAAUAGAGUGUUUGUAUGUAUCAAUGAUAGUAGUCAUAUGGUCUCUCCUUAUUGUUUGGCAUGCCUAUAAGGUGUUUGUUUUUUGGUGUAUGUUAAAUUGUUUGGAGGAAAGAAAGAAAGAAAACCGCAUUGAAUAUCUAAUUUACGAUCUUUGUCUCUUUUUUUUUUUCUUAAGUUUUAAUUGAUUUCUUUCUUUUGAGCUGAAGUUGUUGCUAUGGUUGUGUGUCUUUGUAUUUUUUGUCUUUUGAAAUUGUAGAGUUGAUUUGGAAUUCCCAAAAGUUGAGGUUCGAUUUCAAGACCUGUGUGUUGAUGCUUUUGUCCUUGUUGGAAGCAAAGCACUACCCAUUAUUCCCAAUUUCAUUUUUAACAUGACUGAGGUAAGAAUUUUUUUUUUCCCUUUCGUCCUUAACUAUUUUCCAGCUAUAGUCUCAUUCUGUAGUAUGAAAUUCUUAUUAUGUUUCCAUUCCUAAAAAAUUGGAAUAGAUCUUUUUGGGCUAGUUGAGGAUUUUUCCAGGAAGAAGAAAGAAUUUUUGUUCUGAUGUUGUUUUGGAGAGGUUAUGUUGGCCUAGAAAAAAGAAUUUUUGUCAAGGUGUUGUCCAGGCAGAAGAAAGAAGUCUAAUGUUGUCUGGGCUUUGUACUUUUAUGAAUUCUAAAGCCAAAAAGUUUCAAUUUUCUUAUGAACUGGGCUUUGUAAAAUAGAUAUUAGGAUUUUUUGGUAACACUUCUUUUCCAGUAGAUAGAUAUGGAAAAUGAAGAAAUUGUUAUUAUUUUCAUAAAUAUGUAAAAAUAUUUUAAUUUGUUCUUGUGCCCUUGUCAUAUCGUGUUCAUUUUUUUUUUUUUAAAUUGUCAUGUGGGCAUGUCCGUGUUGUGCCGCGUCCAUGCCUAAUUCCCAUAUCUGGCUUCUUUGUCUGUUAGUGCAGUUCAACAGACCAUGCAACCUGUAUUCUUUUAAAUUUUGAAAUUGGGACCUUUUAUGAGAGGCUUUAUUCUCAUGCAUUUUUUUAAACUCCGGAUCCAAUCCUCACUCAAACGCAUCCUAAUUUGUUGAAAUUUGAACAAGCCCGCUACAAAACCCAGUUAGAUCCUACUGUAGAAGAAGUGAAGAAACUUUGUACUACGUGUCGCAAAUAUGCCAAGUCUGAAAGAGUUCUGUUUCAUUACAAUGGACAUGUUGUGCCAAAGCCAACUGCUAAUGGUGAAAUUUGGCUAUUCAACAAGAGUUAUACACAAUAUAUCCCAUUACCGACCAGUGAUCUUGAUUCCUAGUUGAAGACACCGUUGAUAUAUGUUUUUGACUGCUCUGCUGCAGGAAUGAUUGUCAAUGCCUUCGUAGAGCUUCAGGAUUGGAGUGCUUCUACUUCUUCUGAAUCUUCCCUGAGGGAUUGCAUUCUGCUUGCAGCCUGUGAAGCACAUGAGACUCUUCCUCAGA
Camellia sinensis is the source of this 2018-nucleotide non-coding RNA. NCBI's taxonomy places the organism in Eukaryota, Viridiplantae, Streptophyta, Magnoliopsida, Ericales, Theaceae. The record is from RefSeq and is a predicted model, not a curated record.